CCCAGAUUUAAAACCGAAGCAACCAAGUGUACAGCAAGACAGGGAACAGAACAGUGAUGGAAUAAAGCACUGAGGCCAAAAAAAAAAAAAAAAAAAAAGAAGAGAAAAAGAGACAGUUAUAUGAAAUAAAACGCUAAAGAGCAAAGGUCACACAGGAAAGAUCUGACACACCAGUGGCUGAUCUCUGAAGUGUCCUAUUAUGGAGACAGCUCAGAACUACUUGACACUAACAAGACAUCAGGCUUUGGAAAAGAGAGGAAAUGCGUAUAAUCGGUUCUCCUAUUCCACAGCAAGAAAUAUCCAAUUCUCAUUUGUCAGCCCAGGUAACCAGAUAUUUGUGCUCCUUUUUUAGGGAAGGAAGAAGGGAUGAAGGAGAAGACAUCCCAUCCACAGAAAGAGGAGCCUUAUUCUGCCAGAACAGCCCUGGAAAUAAACCCGACGCAAGUCUGGUGAGACCUGCCUGCCAUAUACGUACACCAAAUGCAGAUGUUGAUGAAAGAGCACAGGAGAGAGAAUGAUUGUGUUAUCUGUUGAAGACCAGCUCUUGCAACAGGACAGGUUUGGGCCAGGCAGCUGCCUUUGACCAGCAGUUUUGGAUGCAGAGAGGCCAAAUUAAACCCCCCAGGUUGGAGGCAGAUACUCAGGAGAAGGGACAGGACCAGAGGAUGGGCUGCUCGUUCCUUCUUCUUCCCAGGGUAGGUGGCCUCUUCUGGCACUUUCUUCCUAAAUCUUGGGUCUCGGGAGUAUGAGAUGGGGAUGGCAUUUGGGAUGAAGGACUUCCCAGAGUGACUUCUCUCCUUCAUUCCCAUCUCUUUCCCCUUGGGCUUUGCCCACCUGUGGUGCCAUGGGAGGAUUGGUAUAUUGGAGGUUGGGUAGAAUCACACCAGGUUGUACAGCCCAGAAAUCAGCACAUUUGGCAGGAAUAAGGGCUGCUGCCAGUGUCUGCUGGCGUGUCCCCCAUGAGCUGCUGACAAACACCGUGUCCACACUUUUACUUUUCUCUCCUUUCCUUCCCGUUGGGGCUUUCGGCUCCUCCAGCUCCGCAUCCUGCGCGGCUGCACUUCACUCACAGCAGCAGGAGCAUCAA
RNAcentral lists this long non-coding RNA (1087 nucleotides) under Calidris pugnax (ruff). Its description in RNAcentral is "lncRNA (ENSCPUG00000006451.1)". The record is from RNAcentral. Lineage: Eukaryota; Metazoa; Chordata; Aves; Charadriiformes; Scolopacidae.